CCCAACUAUCCCUAUUAAUCAUUACGGUGAUCCUAGAAACCAACAAAAUAGAACCAUGCCGUCCUAUUUUAUUAUUCCAUGCUAAUGUAUUCAGGCACUAGCCUGCUUUGAGCACUCUAAUUUUUUCAAGGUAAUAGUCCUGCUUCCCCAACGCACCAAAUGAAUGGCAUGCUGGUUAUUCAGAAGGUAAGAACCCACCACACCAGUACGGACAGUGAAGCCCGACCGAUGGACAGAUUCCGAAAUUCAACUACGAGCUUUUUAACUGCAACAACUUUAAUAUACGCUAUUGGAGCUGGAAUUACCGCGGCUGCUGGCACCAGACUUGCCCUCCAA
This 336-nucleotide unclassified non-coding RNA is filed under the name uncultured Acaulosporaceae. Its description in RNAcentral is "sequence contains 18S rRNA gene". The record is from RNAcentral. RNAcentral also lists the same sequence under 1 other name. Lineage: Eukaryota; Fungi; Glomeromycota; Glomeromycetes; Diversisporales; Acaulosporaceae.